This 484-nucleotide ribosomal RNA is filed under the name uncultured bacterium. RNAcentral describes it as "partial 16S ribosomal RNA". It matches the Rfam family "Bacterial small subunit ribosomal RNA", at positions 30 to 507 of the family's 1533-position model. The record is from RNAcentral.
AUUGAACGCUGGCGGCAGGCCUAACACAUGCAAGUCGAGCGGAUGAAGGGAGCUUGCUCCUGGAUUCAGCGGCGGACGGGUGAGUAAUGCCUAGGAAUCUGCCUGGUCGUGGGGGAUAACGUCCGGAAACGGGCGCUAAUACCGCAUACGUCCUGAGGGCGACAGUGGGUGAUCUUCCGACCUCACGCUUUCAUAUGAGCCUAGGUCGGAUUAGCUAGUUGGUGGGGUAACGGCCUACCAAGGCGACGAUCCGUAACUGGUCUGAGAGGAUGAUCAGUCACACUGGAACGGAGAGACGGUCCAGACUCCUAGGGGAGGGAGAAGUGCGGAAUAUUGGACGAUGGGCGAAGGGGUGAUUCAGGGAUGCCGCGCGAAAGAAGAAGGUCGUCGGAUUGUGUAGCACAUGAAGGUGGGAGGGAGGUAAGGAAGUUUAUACCGGGCUGUUUUGAAGUGAACAGCAGAAUAAGGCCCGGCUAACUUCGUG